RNAcentral lists this ribosomal RNA (253 nucleotides) under uncultured bacterium. RNAcentral's name for it is "partial 16S ribosomal RNA". It matches the Rfam family "Bacterial small subunit ribosomal RNA", at positions 524 to 776 of the family's 1533-position model. The record is from RNAcentral.
UACAGAGGUCCCGAGCGUUGUUCGGAUUCAUUGGGCGUAAAGGGUGCGUAGGCGGCGGGGCAAGUCUGAUGUGAAAUCCCGGGGCUCAACCCCGGAACUGCAUUGGAUACUGCCUUGCUCGAGUACUGGAGAGGGAACUGGAAUUUACGGUGUAGCAGUGAAAUGCGUAGAGAUCGUAAGGAAGGCCAGUGGCGAAGGCGAGUUCCUGGACAGUGACUGACGCUGAGGCACGAAGGCCAGGGGAGCAAACAGG